Molecule: long non-coding RNA, 340 nt
Filed under: Hordeum vulgare
Lineage: Eukaryota; Viridiplantae; Streptophyta; Magnoliopsida; Poales; Poaceae
Description: long non-coding RNA (HVUL_LNC002440)
Source: RNAcentral
CACUUGUUACGCCAGACUAGCGGACAAAAAUCAUGAAGGGACCAACAUAUCACAAUCAGGCCAAAGCAAUGACCUGGAAACAGACAUCGACACAAAGUGGAGCUGGAGCUGGAGCUGGGCACGGAUUCGUCGUCAAGCCUGCGCCACCGUCGUCCGUCGCGCCAUGGCUGCCUCCGUGCUUAGCCACCAAGGCCUCCACCGCGGCCCCGCCUCGGAUUUGCCGUCAGCACCCACCGCGUCGGCUCGACCUCAUCACGUCAUGAGGCGCCACCGCGCCAUGGCUGCCUGCGUGCUUCAACGCCAUGGCUGACUGCGCACUUCGACGCCGCGGCCUCCUCCU